GCGGCGGACGGGUGAGUAACACGUGGGUAACCUGCCUGUAAGACUGGGAUAACUCCGGGAAACCGGGGCUAAUACCGGAUAACUCAUUUCCUCGCAUGAGGAAAUGUUGAAAGGUGGCUUUUAGCUACCACUUACAGAUGGACCCGCGGCGCAUUAGCUAGUUGGUGAGGUAACGGCUCACCAAGGCAACGAUGCGUAGCCGACCUGAGAGGGUGAUCGGCCACACUGGGACUGAGACACGGCCCAGACUCCUACGGGAGGCAGCAGUAGGGAAUCUUCCGCAAUGGACGAAAGUCUGACGGAGCAACGCCGCGUGAGUGAUGAAGGUUUUCGGAUCGUAAAACUCUGUUGUUAGGGAAGAACAAGUACCGUUCGAAUAGGGCGGUACCUUGACGGUACCUAACCAGAAAGCCACG
Molecule: ribosomal RNA, 416 nt
Filed under: Bacillus subtilis
Lineage: Bacteria; Bacillati; Bacillota; Bacilli; Caryophanales; Bacillaceae
Description: bacterial SSU rRNA
Rfam family: Bacterial small subunit ribosomal RNA
Source: RNAcentral